AUCUAGCUGACGAGUCCCAAACAGGAGGUAACGCACGCCCUGAAU
This 45-nucleotide non-coding RNA is filed under the name Schistosoma mattheei. The record is from RNAcentral. Lineage: Eukaryota; Metazoa; Platyhelminthes; Trematoda; Strigeidida; Schistosomatidae.